ACCUGGUGAUGUGGGCAUUUACGGAGCAGAUCCCUAAAGUGCCCACAAGUCUCAAAAAAGAGUUCCCCAUCCAUCUGUGAGAAACUUGUAAUGACUCUCUGAAACU
Molecule: small nucleolar RNA, 106 nt
Organism: Malania oleifera
Lineage: Eukaryota; Viridiplantae; Streptophyta; Magnoliopsida; Santalales; Ximeniaceae
Source: RefSeq, a predicted model, not a curated record